CUCGGGUUCCGACAGGCGCGGCUCUCUGCGCCUGCCCUGCAUCCAACUUAGCCCAACCAGCCAGGGGCCGCCGCCCAUCGCCCCCAGCCCCAGGGAGAGCGGGCAAGGCCGUGGGGCUGCUUGUGGAAGGGCGGGGCGCCUGCUCCCAGACAGUUCCUGAAAGAAGGAUCAAAUGCCAAGAACUCCCACAUGAAGAGGACCUUCCUAGAUCUGUAACUGGGAUUAGCCACUUCUUGAAUUCAGCAAGAAGUUUCAGCUAACUCUCAGGAUAAAGCCAAAACAUGCCUGUGACUGUCCCCCAGGUCAGGCAGAGGAGCACUUGUUACUAGAAAGAAAGCUUACUUCUUUGUUAUUCAAACACACACCCACACAUAUCCUCUCCAUCACUAAUGAAAAGUCUCAACAGAUGGAAAGCCUAAGCUCCCAAACCUGCAGGCUGAGAUGAUGCACUUCACUCAAGGGCAAGUCAGCUGGUCCAGACUGGGGGAGGAGAAGGGAGAAGUAGCUAGUAUAGGUAAUCACUAUCUCUUAAUACUUCUUACAGAUAGAAAUUCGAAAAAUCUUGUUCAACAAGGUUAGCAGCCUCUGGAGCCUUGGAAACCAAUUUGGCUGAAGUGUCUCUGAUAGGGACUGGGCUUCAGGCUGCACCAAGGGGAACAUACUUGUUAUGUAUUCUCUUUCUCUUUCUCUCAUUUGAAAUCUUGUACAAAGAAAUGGUAUAAAUGGAUGGUUAGCUUAAUGGUUCCAUCAGAGGUGGAUUUUUCUCUGUCAGUUCCCUGGAUGAGGCUGAGGUCUGAAAGCCAAAAAACAGAGUAUGUUCCUAAUCACUCUUUCUUACCUCCUUACCAAUGGCCUGGAGAGUAAUCCUGGCCAAGUUCCUCUGCAACUUCCCCAAACUCCUGAAUAGAUCAGUAAGGUCUGGACACACCA
Molecule: long non-coding RNA, 930 nt
Organism: Ictidomys tridecemlineatus (thirteen-lined ground squirrel)
Lineage: Eukaryota; Metazoa; Chordata; Mammalia; Rodentia; Sciuridae
Source: RefSeq, a predicted model, not a curated record